GGCUGGUCCGAAGGCAGUGAGUAUCUCAGUUGAUUUUUCAGUCAGUUACAGACCAAACUGCUUGUUCUACUUCUUCACCUUCUCAUUACUGUACUUCACCAAUCUUAA
Molecule: Y RNA, 108 nt
Organism: Callithrix jacchus (white-tufted-ear marmoset)
Lineage: Eukaryota; Metazoa; Chordata; Mammalia; Primates; Cebidae
Rfam family: Y RNA
About the family: Y RNAs are components of the Ro ribonucleoprotein particle (Ro RNP), in association with Ro60 and La proteins. The Y RNAs and Ro60 and La proteins are well conserved, but the function of the Ro RNP is not known. In humans the RNA component can be one of four small RNAs -- hY1, hY3, hY4 and hY5.
Source: Ensembl